UGAAAUAGUUCCUGAAACCAUAUGCCUACAAGUAGUCAGAGCUCGUUAAUGAGUGAUGGCGUGCCUUUUGUAGAAUGAACCGGCGAGUUACGUUAGCGUGCGAGGUUAAGGAGGAAAGUCCGGAGCCAUAGCGAAAGCGAGUCUGAAUAGGGCGAGAUAGUACGUUGACGUAGACCCGAAACCAGGUGACCUACCCAUGUCCAGGUUGAAGGUGCGGUAAAACGCACUGGAGGACCGAACCCGUGUAUGUUGAAA
Molecule: ribosomal RNA, 255 nt
Filed under: Ligilactobacillus salivarius
Lineage: Bacteria; Bacillati; Bacillota; Bacilli; Lactobacillales; Lactobacillaceae
Description: Lactobacillus salivarius partial 23S ribosomal RNA
Rfam family: Bacterial large subunit ribosomal RNA
Source: RNAcentral